AGAUGUUCCUGAGGGUCCGCCAUGGUGUCCAUGGGAUGUCCUUGAGGAGCCUCCAGGGUGACAACGAGAUGUCCCCAAAGCCACCAUGGUGUCCGUGGGAUGUCCCCAAAGCCACUGUGGUGUCCAUGAGAUGUCCCUGAGAAGCCUUCAGGGUGACGGAGAUGUCCCCAAAGCCACCGUGGUGCUCAUGGGAUGUCCCCAAGGGUCCACCAGGGUGACA
RNAcentral lists this long non-coding RNA (220 nucleotides) under Parus major (Great Tit). Its description in RNAcentral is "lncRNA (ENSPMJG00000004495.1)". The record is from RNAcentral. Lineage: Eukaryota; Metazoa; Chordata; Aves; Passeriformes; Paridae.